GGAGAAAAGAUGUCCAUCAACUGGUAAAUGGAUAAAUUGUGGUAUAUCCAUACAAUGGAAUAUUACUCAGGAACCAACAAGAACAAAUAUGGAUACAUGCAGCAACAUGAAGGACUCUCAGACACCAUAGGUUAAGCGAAAGAAGCCAGACACAAAAGGCUAAUCGUUGUGUGACUACCUACAUGUGACAUUCUAGAAAAGGCAAAACUGUACGGACAUGAUAUCAAAUGUUUAAUUCAAAUCGGUGGUUUCCAGAGCUGGGUGUAGGAGGAAGGACAGAGGACAGCGGGGCAUGAGGGAAUUCUUAGGGGAAUGGAAAUGUUCUGUAUCUUGACUGUGACAUAGUGUCACCAUUUGUUAAAACUCAUUGAACUGUACUGUUUAAAAGGUGAAUUUUACUCUAUGAAAAUUAUACCUCAAUAAGCCUUACUUGGAAAGGAGAAAAGUGUGCAGGUCCUUCACUUGUUUUUCUCAGAUUCUGUGAAGUGGCUAUGUAAUCUCCCAAACAGAUAAAGAAACUUUACAGGCCCUUUCUGCUCUGAUUUUGCCAGUGUUUGGAUGGCAGAGGAGAGUCUGAAACGGGAGAGACUGUCCCCUGAAGAGCCCUCCUCCAUCACUCCUUUGUCUAAAACAUCUUGCCCCUCUUGGGGGGCAUCUCCUGAUCCUGAAUCAUGAUGCCCCAAAGGCACCAUCUGGAUGGGAAGGCUGGGAAUGCUCAGCCCCACAUUAAUCUCACUCUAGAGGCUCCAAACAGCACUGGUGGGUCCUGGAGACUCAGCAGGGUGCCCCUGGGCCUGCCCUGAGGGGGAGGGGCCACGGGAAAGAGGCAAGUGGGCGGAGCCCUAGGCCCCACCUCCACCGAAGCAAUCCGGUGUUCCGUUUCUGUAGGACACUGAGUUUCAGCUUAACCUCUUGUGGGAAACUUGCUCCGCUCAGCAAAAAGAAGGCUCAGGGAAAUGAAGUGACUUGCCGGAGACACAGCCGGUGUGGACCUGCCCAGCAACACAAACCCACCCCAUCAUCCGUGCUCUUUUUAGAGCAAUCUGUGGUGCCUCCCAGUGCCAAGUGCCUUAAGAGAGGUGUGGAUAAAGUAGCAGGUGGGCAGUGAGUGUGAGGUGAUUUCUGGCUGGAAGAAAAGAUCCUUGAAGGCUGGAAAGGAGGCCUAGGCUGAGUUUGCAGCUACUCAGGAGAAGCAGAGAGAAAGAGCACCAAGUCUCAAAAGCUGAGGCCAGUCUUCAGAAUGCUGGGCUGAAGGCGGGAAGACAGGGUUUGCCUUCUCCGUGUUUGCCA
Long non-coding RNA from Manis javanica (Malayan pangolin), 1290 nucleotides. RefSeq lists it as uncharacterized. The record is from RefSeq and is a predicted model, not a curated record. Lineage: Eukaryota; Metazoa; Chordata; Mammalia; Pholidota; Manidae.